RNAcentral lists this ribosomal RNA (440 nucleotides) under uncultured bacterium. RNAcentral's name for it is "partial 16S ribosomal RNA". It matches the Rfam family "Bacterial small subunit ribosomal RNA", at positions 338 to 795 of the family's 1533-position model. The record is from RNAcentral.
CCUACGGGUGGCUGCAGUCGAGAAUCAUUCACAAUGGGGGAAACCCUGAUGCAGCGACGCCGCGUGUGGGAAGACGGUCCUCUGGAUUGUAAACCACUGUCCCCAGGGACGAAGAUGACGGUACCUGGGGAGGAAGCUCCGGCUAACUACGUGCCAGCAGCCGCGGUAAUACGUAGGGAGCGAGCGUUGUCCGGAAUUACUGGGUGUAAAGGGAGCGUAGGCGGGACUGCAAGUUGGGUGUCAAAUCUACCGGCUCAACCGGUAGCCGCACUCAAAACUGCAGUUCUUGAGUGAAGUAGAGGCAGGCGGAAUUCCUAGUGUAGCGGUGAAAUGCGUAGAUAUUAGGAGGAACACCAGUGGCGAAGGCGGCCUGCUGGGCUUUUACUGACGCUGAGGCACGAAGGCCAGGGGAGCGAAAGGGAUUAGAUACCCGGGUAGUC